CAGUUCGGAUUGUAGUCUGCAACUCGACUACAUGAAGCUGGAAUCGCUAGUAAUCGCGAAUCAGAAUGUCGCGGUGAAUACGUUCCCGGGUCUUGUACACACCGCCCGUCACACCAUGGGAGUCAGUAACGCCCGAAGCCGGUGACCCAACCGAUAAGGAGGGAGCCGUCGAAGGUGGGACCGAUAACUGGGGUGAAGUCGUAACAAGGUAAC
This 213-nucleotide ribosomal RNA is filed under the name uncultured bacterium. RNAcentral describes it as "partial 16S ribosomal RNA". It matches the Rfam family "Bacterial small subunit ribosomal RNA", at positions 1289 to 1500 of the family's 1533-position model. The record is from RNAcentral.